Molecule: long non-coding RNA, 967 nt
Filed under: Solanum tuberosum (potato)
Lineage: Eukaryota; Viridiplantae; Streptophyta; Magnoliopsida; Solanales; Solanaceae
Description: long non-coding RNA (STUB_LNC007148)
Source: RNAcentral
CCAGAAAGAAGAAACUUGCAUACUUACUCAUAGAAAAUAACCCUUUAACACGUAAGAGAGCAAACAAAUAAACACAUUCUAAAGUAUUGAGAUCACUGAAUCGAAAUGGAGUUGGUUAUUGGAUUAAAAGAACUCCUUAUACUAGAGAAAAUUAACUAAUGUAAUGCUAUCUAAUGAAUAUUGGAAAUGAUAAGAACAAUCAGAAUGCAAAGUUUGAAUAACCAAGCCUAAUGCUAGACUGAUUAUUACAAACAUAAGACAAAACAGAGACAACAUAUCGAAAGCAGAGGCAUGAAAUAACAACAUUACUAAAACAAACUGAUGAAAAGAGUCACGAAAACAAGAAACUUUAAGAUCAGGCGCAACCAGGAUGCAUACUAAUCAUAUAUAACUCAAAGUAUUUAUCAUAAUGAAAUUCUAAGCUACUAUUUAUAUGAAUAUUGACUAAAACAAAUCGACCAAUUUAACAUACAAGAGAAGCUAAACAUAAGGGCUAUCUCACAUAAACAAGAAUGAAGUAAUACUAGCAACCAACCUCUUUUCAACAAAUAUGAAUUUAAUGGUAAACAGAAAACAUAAACAAAGAACUAAAUAGUAUCUACGACAAACAAGAAAAUUAGCUGUUUUACUAAUUACUAAGACAUCAGAAUGGACAGCAAAACCAAAAACCAAAAUUACUAACAGAUACAACAACUAAACUGAUCUAAUCCAGUCAUUCAACACACAACGAAAUAAUAAAAAUAUUUAAAAGAAGAAAGAAUUACCUUUCACUGAGCAGCGAACUAAAAUGACGAGUUGAGAAGACGACUCCACCACCUCUUUCAACUAGAACAACUACAAAAAUUGAACUAUUGAACCAAGAUUUCCCAAACCUUUUAGGGCUACUCUCAGGUUUCCAAAAUUCGUCCCGUGAACAGUGAGCAAAAAGGGUAUUUAUAGAGCAUCUUCUAGGUCGAAUAUGAGGGGG